Motacilla alba alba is the source of this 978-nucleotide long non-coding RNA. RefSeq lists it as uncharacterized. NCBI's taxonomy places the organism in Eukaryota, Metazoa, Chordata, Aves, Passeriformes, Motacillidae. The transcript is spliced from 3 exons. The record is from RefSeq and is a predicted model, not a curated record.
CUCCCAUCUGCAGAGGUAGUUUAAACAGGUACAGCUCGAACAGACUGAAUUUUUCCUUUACUGCCUUCUGGGCUCAGACCAGAGCAGGGAUCCUGCUGCCUCCAUGGAACAGGUACCCAGGUCUCAGCAGGAUGAAGGAGCCUCCUUGGGGGCUGCAGCAGGGCCUCCCUCCCGUCUUUCAGCCCUCCCGGCGACAAUUUUGGUUGCUAGAUGUCUCAAUUCCAAAGCAGCAGCAGAAGUCAGAGGUGAAUUAGCAGCCAAGAGCAGCCAAGAUCCCAGCUCAUCAACUGCUCAUACUGGUGGGAGAAAGGGUGCUGAAAGCCAAACCUCUUUCCAAUGCUCCAGGAGUGCAGCACAAGCCCUGCAGACAUUAUAGGAAAAUAUGAACUGCAUCAUAUCUGUAGAAACUUGUUUUAUUAGAGACAUGAGUACUAACAACCUUCUCUGCAUAAUCUCUGAAGGAAACAGACUGGCUUUGUAAGGGAGAGACAGAUGAGAACAAACUAUACUUGGAUAAAAGAACAACUGGAAAUAUGUUGUGUAAGAGGAGGUUCUGGCCGAGCACUUUCCAAAGCCUGAGAACUCCUAUCAGUGGCAACUUCUGUCAUUUCUGAUGGCGAACAUCCCAUGGGCUGCUAGGGCAGGGAAUGUCUCCAGAUCCGCCUGAGGGCUUUCCCAGUCCAGCUGCUGCAGCAGCAGCCUCCUCUCCCAAGCUUCAGAAGCACCAUCUGGAUGCAACAAGAGGACCUUCAAACUACUGUUUGCCACAUCUUCAGCCCUUCCUCCACCCUAUGAAGCAUGUCUUUGAGUGAGUUCAUCAUCCUGCUUUCUCAGCAGGUGAAAAUACGCUCCUUUUUAGCAUCCCAGGGAAGACAUGGCAAGUGCUGAGGUGUAAUAGCAGACUUUGAUCAUCCUCAAGGUUUUUGAACCUGUAUUGUCCUCUUGACACCCAUGACUUGAAUACAGUCUGGAACUGAU